GAUGAACGCUGGCGGCGCGCCUAACACAUGCAAGUCGAACGAUUAAAGCACCUUCGGGUGUGUAUAAAGUGGCGAACGGCUGAGUAACACGUGGGCAACCUGCCCCUCUCAUUGGGAUAGCCACGGGAAACCGUGGAUAAUACCGAAUACUUCGGGACUUCCGCAUGGAAGACUCGAGAAAGCUCCGGCGGAGAGGGAUGGGCCCGCGGCCUGUUAGCUUGUUGGUGGGGUAAUGGCCUACCAAGGCAAUGAUGGGUAGCUGGGUUGAGAGACCGACCAGCCAGAUUGGGACUGAGACACGGCCCAGACUCCUACGGGAGGCAGCAGUGGGGAAUCUUGCACAAUGGGCGAAAGCCUGAUGCAGCGACGCCGCGUGCGGGAUGAAGGCCUUCGGGUUGUAAACCGCUUUCAGCAGGGACGAGGCGAAAGUGACGGUACCUUCAGAAGAAGCCCCGGCUAACUCCGUG
This 467-nucleotide ribosomal RNA is filed under the name uncultured bacterium. RNAcentral's name for it is "partial 16S ribosomal RNA". It matches the Rfam family "Bacterial small subunit ribosomal RNA", at positions 28 to 507 of the family's 1533-position model. The record is from RNAcentral.